GACGAACGCUGGCGGCGUGCUUAACACAUGCAAGUCGAACGGAAAGGCCCUGCUUUUGUGGGGUGCUCGAGUGGCGAACGGGUGAGUAACACGUGAGUAACCUGCCCUUGACUUUGGGAUAACUUCAGGAAACUGGGGCUAAUACCGGAUAGGAGCUCCUGCUGCAUGGUGGGGGUUGGAAAGUUUCGGCGGUUGGGGAUGGACUCGCGGCUUAUCAGCUUGUUGGUGGGGUAGUGGCUUACCAAGGCUUUCACGGGUAGCCGGCCUGAGAGGGUGACCGGCCACAUUGGGACUGAGAUACGUCCCAGACUCCUACGGGAGGCAGCAGUGGGGAAUAUUGCACAAUGGGCGGAAGCCUGAUGCAGCAACGCCGCGUGCGGGAUGACGGCCUUCGGGUUGUAAACCGCUUUCGCCUGUGACGAAGCGUGAGUGACGGUAAUGGGUAAAGAAGCACCGGCUAACUACGUG
This 468-nucleotide ribosomal RNA is filed under the name uncultured bacterium. RNAcentral describes it as "partial 16S ribosomal RNA". It matches the Rfam family "Bacterial small subunit ribosomal RNA", at positions 28 to 507 of the family's 1533-position model. The record is from RNAcentral.